AUGUUAGGAGUACUGGGACGAUUCCGCGGAGCCGGGCAGAGGUUUUAGGGGAAUGAUUAACAAAGGCGUCCGAAGAAAUCGUUGUUGGAAGGUGACCAAGGUGGAAAGAGACGUUGCUUUGGCCCUGCAAGUAAGAAGAGAGAGGGAAUAGCCUGAAGGAGUAACACUAAAUUUAAAAUGACACUUUUUUACCAACCAGCGAAAGCAGAUGUUCAAAGGGGAUAUUGGCCAGAGUCUGUCACACUAAGAUGAGAAAUGUCCUUUCUUCCUGAAGGUGUCUGAUGUGUAAAAAUAUGAUAUACUUUGUGCUGUUUCCUCCCUUCCCUUUUGCAUAUUAUUCUGAAACAACAUUAACUAGUUACUUUGCGUCAUUGAAGAACUCACUUUGAGGCCAAGCGUGGUUGCUCAGGCCUGUAAUCCCAGCACUUUGGGAGGCCGAGGCAGGUGGAUCACCUGAGGUCAGGAGUUGGAGACCAGCCUGGCCAACACGACAAACCCCGUCUCUACUAAAAAUACAAAAAUUAGCCUGGCAUGGUGGCACACACCUGUAAUUCCAGCUGCUCGGGAGGCUGAAGCAUGAGAAUCACUUGAACCUGGGAGGCAGAGGUUGCAGUGAGCCAAGGUUGCAGUGGAUCAAGAUCACACCACUGCACUCCAGCCUGGGCAAUAGAGUGAGACUCUGUCUCAAGAAGAAGAAAAAGAAAAAAAACUCACUUUAAACUCUGCUA
This 728-nucleotide long non-coding RNA is filed under the name Homo sapiens (human). RNAcentral describes it as "RAB30 divergent transcript". Lineage: Eukaryota; Metazoa; Chordata; Mammalia; Primates; Hominidae. The record is from RNAcentral.